Molecule: long non-coding RNA, 1271 nt
Filed under: Homo sapiens (human)
Lineage: Eukaryota; Metazoa; Chordata; Mammalia; Primates; Hominidae
Description: HSALNT0158241
Source: RNAcentral
GAAAGAUCCAAAGUGUCAGAGAAGUCUCUCUCUUGGCCGUGAAUAACAGGCUACCUUGAAUUGGUGUUUCCUUUGCGUAUUUUGUUUCUAAGCAAAUCGAGUCCCAGGUAGAGUUUUGCCCUUGAGCAGCUUCAUGAGGUCAAGGAGGGGCGCUCACUCCACUCUGCACGGAAACACUGAGUGGAAUGAAAAUACAACCGGAGAGAAUGUCCUCCCCACCAGAAGGUCGCCUCGAGACAGGCCUCCACGCAUCGUUGCUGACCUCACACAGUGAUACCUCUGCAUGCCGGGGAGCAAUUCCAUCCAAGUCCCUGCAUCCUUGUCCAGGAGCAGCCAUCAGUGUGGAGCUGGGGCUUGGAGAUCUUGCUCCCCGCUGCCUCUAGGGCUCAGGGGCAUGGCUGCCGACCACACAGGGGCAGGAAUGUCUGAGACGCGCUCUGCAAGAUGAGUUGGCAGCAUCUCUGUGCCUCUGGUUUUGCCAGGCUCCACCAACAUCCCGCUAAGAACUCUUCACCCUCAAGUGCACUGAGGGGAACCCCAGUGAAGGCCAAUGAGGGAAACCACACAUCACUGAGGGCCGACGGAGGCCCCCAAAGCUCAGAUCGCUGUGCUCGCCAGUAGGUCCCCAGACACCCUUAACACAGCUAUCUGCAGGAUUGAAUGAUUGCUGGGACCACACAAUUUACACUUGGCUCUCGUGGUCCGGAGGGGAGGACUGCGCCAGCAUGAGAAGACCAGAGAGCAAGUAAAUGGAAAUUUGGCGAGAUCCUGUGGCUGCUGUUGGUGGCUGCAGCCAGACAGGAAAACUGAGAUGGUGUGAGCAGAAAGGGCUGGAAGGAGUUGGCUUUUUCCAAGAAAUUACAGCGGAAUCUUCUUCCAAGAGGCUGGGGGCCUCUGCAGACAUGAUCUCAUUACUUACCCCCCAAAUCCCCCAGCUUCCCUACGGACCAAGGACCAGGGGUCUCUGCCCAGUCCUAGCUCCAAGGAAACUCACACUUGGCAGAUUUUCCUAAUCGGAGCUGGCCUUGAAGUUUGCUCACUGAUAAUCACCAGAAAGUCACCCCAACAAUGGGUGAUGCCAGAGUGUCCUCAAGCUUCAAGGGUCCGUAAAAACACUUGACUCCCCCAGGACAAAAAUGACUGGGGGAAACAUGCAGUUCUUCAAAGAGAACGGUUUCAUUCUGUACCAAAGGGUGUCUUAAUUUGCCUUGGCAAGAGAGGCAGCACCGUGUUGUGGGUGGACAGCACUCGGGGGGUGGACGGCACUCGGG